RNAcentral lists this ribosomal RNA (712 nucleotides) under uncultured bacterium. RNAcentral describes it as "bacterial SSU rRNA". It matches the Rfam family "Bacterial small subunit ribosomal RNA", at positions 79 to 787 of the family's 1533-position model. The record is from RNAcentral.
CUUGCUUCUCUUGAGAGCGGCGGACGGGUGAGUAAUGCCUAGGAAUCUGCCUGGUAGUGGGGGAUAACGUUCGGAAACGGACGCUAAUACCGCAUACGUCCUACGGGAGAAAGCAGGGGACCUUCGGGCCUUGCGCUAUCAGAUGAGCCUAGGUCGGAUUAGCUAGUUGGUGGGGUAAUGGCUCACCAAGGCGACGAUCCGUAACUGGUCUGAGAGGAUGAUCAGUCACACUGGAACUGAGACACGGUCCAGACUCCUACGGGAGGCAGCAGUGGGGAAUAUUGGACAAUGGGCGAAAGCCUGAUCCAGCCAUGCCGCGUGUGUGAAGAAGGUCUUCGGAUUGUAAAGCACUUUAAGUUGGGAGGAAGGGUUGUAGAUUAAUACCCUGCAAUUUUGACGUUACCGACAGAAUAAGCACCGGCUAACUCUGUGCCAGCAGCCGCGGUAAUACAGAGGGUGCAAGCGUUAAUCGGAAUUACUGGGCGUAAAGCGCGCGUAGGUGGUUUGUUAAGUUGGAUGUGAAAUCCCCGGGCUCAACCUGGGAACUGCAUUCAAAACUGACUGACUAGAGUAUGGUAGAGGGUGGUGGAAUUUCCUGUGUAGCGGUAAAAUGCGUAGAUAUAGGAAGGAACACCAGUGGCGAAGGCGACCACCUGGACUAAUACUGACACUGAGGUGCGAAAGCGUGGGGAGCAAACAGGAUUAGAUACCC